RNAcentral lists this ribosomal RNA (462 nucleotides) under uncultured Pelotomaculum sp. Its description in RNAcentral is "bacterial SSU rRNA". It matches the Rfam family "Bacterial small subunit ribosomal RNA", at positions 925 to 1382 of the family's 1533-position model. Lineage: Bacteria; Bacillati; Bacillota; Clostridia; Eubacteriales; Desulfotomaculaceae. The record is from RNAcentral.
ACAAGCGGUGGAGCAUGUGGUUUAAUUCGACGCAACGCGAAGAACCUUACCAGGGCUUGACAUCCCCUGACCGCGUAUGAAAGUACGUUUUCACCCUCGGGUGACAGGGAGACAGGUGGUGCAUGGUUGUCGUCAGCUCGUGUCGUGAGAUGUUGGGUUAAGUCCCGCAACGAGCGCAACCCCUACGUUUAGUUGCUAACGCGUGAAGGCGAGCACUCUAGACGAACUGCCGUUGACAAAACGGAGGAAGGUGGGGAUGACGUCAAAUCAUCAUGCCCCUUAUGUUCUGGGCUACACACGUGCUACAAUGGCCGGUACAGACGGACGCAAAGCCGCGAGGUGGAGCAAAUCCUAAAAAGCCGGUCUCAGUUCGGAUUGCAGGCUGCAAUUCGCCUGCAUGAAGUCGGAAUCGCUAGUAAUCGCAGGUCAGCAUACUCGCGGUCGAAUACGUUCCCGGGCCUU